This 4400-nucleotide unclassified non-coding RNA is filed under the name Leishmania donovani. RNAcentral's name for it is "gene:LdHU3.31.1450(CDS-product:amino_acid_permeas e_3)". Lineage: Eukaryota; Euglenozoa; Kinetoplastea; Trypanosomatida; Trypanosomatidae. The record is from RNAcentral.
CUCAAGCCCUCGCUUUCUCUCUCUCUCCCGCCCACUCGACGAUCACAAGCACGAUAAAAGCCGCGAUUCCCGAUACACACAUUCGCCUAUCGCUCACUCGCGCUCUCCUUUCGUGUCGCUCUGUCUCUUCCGCUCUUUUCUAAUUAUUUCUGCUUUCCUCUGUGUUCGCCCUCUUGGAACACAGAAGACAGAUCAACGCCCAGAACGCUGGUGCAUCCUUCUCUCUCGAUCUUUCUCCGUAUAGAUAGCCCACAGGAGAGAGUUUUGAGAAAAAAAAACGUGACAAAACACUACGCAAUCACAUACUAAAAACUGAAAAACGCAUUCAAGAGUUUGUUGAAGUUGUUUUCUGUCGUUAUUUCAUUUUCUGUCCCCCACUCUCCCUCCCUUUUUCCCUCACCCCCUUUCUCCCGCCCUCCGGGACCGUCUAUCCCAAUCCCCUUUCACGCACAACCCCCUUCACCGUGAAACGCUUGACGGCUUCUGUGUUUUCCUUUUCUUUUUACGUGUGUGUGCGCUUUACGUUUUUCUUUCUUCUUGUUCUCUGUCGCUACCUCAGGGUGCCUUUUUCAUUCGAACACACAGACCCGUAUACAUCACUCUGUCUUCUUGUCCUUCCCACCCGGCCCCUUUCCUGUCUUUCGCUCCUCCAGGCCGAUCACACCCGCGUAGGUUCCUCUAUAUACGCUGGUUUCUUCGCCUACCCUGCCGCACGGCUCCCUCCUCUGAUUUCUUUCGUUGUUUUCUACGCGCAUUCCCCCCUCCCCUGUCUUUUGCGUGCGGUGCUCUUUUCGUCUUUCUUAUCUUUCCGACUGUGGGGUCCACCCCCGGCUCGUCCCGUGCGCAGCGCCCCCUCCGCUGCUAGCGAUCUUGCACCCCGUACCACUCCCUGACACGCAACAAGCAGCAGCAUGAGCAAGCCCAGCGAGUCUAUUCCAGCACAGGCGGAGGGCGAGGUCCUGAGCGACUCGCUUAUAGACGGGAACCCCGGCAACGCCGUCGAUAAACACCCGAGCGGCGAGCAGGGCAACCAUCUCCACAAAAACGGAAGCCUGACGGCCUCAUCAAGCCACAAUGAAAACGGCGCCGACGCCCCAAGCCGGGGCGCAACAUCAUCUUCCGCUUCACCGGGUGGCUGAUACCCUAUGGCGGUGUCAUCUCGAACUGCUUCAGCCUUGGCUCCGUCACACUCGGCGGCGGUAUUAUCUCGAUGCCGUCCUCCUUCGCCAUGUCGGGCAUCAUCAUGUCUGUCAUCUACCUCGUGGUCAUUACGGCGGCGACGGUGUACACCAUGACGCUGCUUGGCUACGCGAUGAAGGCGACGGGCUGCAAAACGUUUGAGGAGCUGUCUCUCGUGCUCUUUGGUCGCGGCUGGGACUACUUCGUUGGGUUUGUCCUGUGGCUGUCGUGCUUCGGCACGGCGGUCGCCUACAUCAGCGCCGUCAGCAGCCUCAUCACACCGAUCCUCGAGAAGUCGCCCGGCACGCCCGCGUACCUGCUAACCACCUCCGGCAACCGCCUGAUCACGAGUCUGAUAUGGCUCGUGUUCAUGGUGCCAGUUGUGAUUCCGAAGCGCGUAAACAGCAUCCGCUACGUCUCCGCAAUCGGUGUCUUCAUGGUGCUGUAUUUUGCCGUCACUAUUGUGGUGCACUCGAGCAUGAAUGGGCUGAAGGAGGGCAUGCGCGGUGAUAUGAAGUACUUCACCAGCGGCAACGAAGCGGUUUACGGAUUGUCCAUCUUCAUUUUCUCGUUUCUGUGCCAGGCUGUGACGGGGUCAGUGUACUUCGAGCAGCGCCCUCGCCCGUCUGUACGCCAGCUGACGAUCGCGAGUGCGAUCUCGAUGACGGUGUGCAUGGUGCUGUACAUCUUUACCGGCGUCUUUGGCUACUUCGACUUCGCGGACGAUACGCAGGACUCCAUCCUGUACAACUUCGACCCUGUGCAUCAGCCGUACAUGAUGAUCGCGUACAUUGGCAUGCUGAUCAAGAUCUGCGCCGCCUUUGCGAUGAACAUGCUGCCGUGCCGAAACUUCGCCUACCACUGCCUGAACUGGGAUCUGGAGACGGUGCCGUACUGGAAGCACACCAUCGCGAUUCUCACCAUGGCUGUCGCCACCCUUGUGUGCGGUCUGUUCAUCCCGAGCAUCAACACGGCUUUCGGUUUGGUGGGCUCCCUGUGCGGCGGAUUCAUCGGCUUCAUCUUCCCUGCGUACUUUUGGAUGUACAGCGGCAACUGGAGCCUGUCAUCUGUGGGCAUCUGGCACUGGCUGGCGACGUACUUCCUCGUGGUGGCGGGUGUCAUUGCAGUUGUGUUUGGCACCAUUUCCACCAUCUACUACAGCUUCUUCGUGUGAGAGAAGGUCACCGGAAGGGGGCGCGCCGUGGAGCAUGCAUGCGGGGAAGCACGAAAGUUCUGCCGUCUGGAGUGCUGCAGCGUGGCGUGACAAUCUGCUCGUGUUCCUGACACGGAUAUUGAAUCGCGGGAGGAUGGUCGAGCUGAACAGCGCUUGAGGCAGCAUUGUGUCUCUUGUGCACGCAUGUCACUCUUUUCGCCACAGUACGGAGUGCAUGUGCGACUCUUUACGUGGAAGGGCACGUGCAGGCUGUCGGUCUUUUUCCUGUCUCUCGAAAUCGCUUCAUUGGGCGAGAAGCUGCCUUUCCCGCUGUCCAGAAAAGGAUAAGUUUAACACUGUCUUUCGUCUUACCUCGCCUGUGUUCGUUUUCUUUUCUUUGCUUCGGGGAACGAGCACCUGAACGCGGGGAGACGUCUGUUGUGGCUCAAUCGCAAACUCGCAUGCUCGUUUUCUCGUUUCCUUUUUUUUUCGUUUUGUCCCUUUUCCCUCCUCCCCGCGCUUUCUUUCCUACUUCUGUGUGGCUUUCUUCGUUCUCUUUUCAUGUGGGCACGGCAUGCUGUGUUGUCUUCCUGUGCGUUGUCGUGCUCACUUGUUUUUGUGUUUUCUCAUACGAUGGGUUUCCGUCUCGACUGUCUUGUUUCGCUGUACUUCCCUCAUCCCGCCCGGUGGGUUCUUGACCACUUUCCCUCCCCCACCCACCUGCUUUCUCAAAGACGGACGGACAAAAGCUUGUGGGAUGGGCAAGUAGAUUUGUGUCCGUUGGGCACGCCAUGUUGGUUUUGUCGCUGCCCUAACAGCACAGUCUACUCGUCAUUCUUUACGUUGCUGCGCACCUUCCUUCUUUUCACAUCGUAAAUCUGUCUGUACUCUCCUCGUCGAGGCGCAUAUGUUCCGUUUUCUUCUUCACUGUGACUUCUCUUCUCUCACCCUGCAAUGAAAACGAUGAACUGACUUCCGUGUGUGUGUGUGUGUGUGUGUGCCAAGGAGUGUUCGUGCACGUGUUAGCCAAAUCACGCCCAGUCUCUGAGUGAAGAUCUUUUUUUCUUUUUCACAACGCCACUGUCUUCCCUCCUCCAUGUUUUCCCUCGCCUUCCGUUUUUCUUUUAUCUGUUUUUCCUUUGUGUGUUUUCUUGUUUAGUGCACGCGCGCAGGUGUGCAUGCCUCCCCUCCACCUCCUCACGUCUUCUCUCGACGUCUGCCUCCCCCCACCCCUCAGUGCUGCUUUUGUGGUUGUCCUAUGUAAUGAUGACGAGCGUGAUCACGCAAGAGCAGUUCAUGAGACCCCAACAGAAGCGGUGGUCGACUCCCCGCAAGUGCAAAGAAAUAUAUAUGUAUAUAUGUAUAAGCAAAAUGUGAGGAGGAGGCAGGAAAAGAGAGAGAGCGACAGAAAGGGAAGGGGCGGCCGUACAGCCAGCUAGAACCACCACUCCUACGUGGUUCUCUUUGGGUGUCUGCCCCUGCCCAUACCCCCUCCUAUCCCUUUUGGGGAGGGGCCGUGGGCGUUGCGCCUCCCUAUCUGUUUUUUUUUCCGCCAUCUCGGUUCUCACGUUUGUAUCAACGUGUGCUAUUUUCUCCCCUGUCCCCCUCCCCGUUGUUGGUUUGUUAUUUCUGCAUCGUGGGCAACUGAGCCGCUCCAUGCGUCCUGCGCUUUCUCUCCUCCGCCCCUACCUUUCCUUCCCACCCUUUCCCAAGAGCCACACCGGCCGACGUGGAAGAAGCGUGGGAAAAGGAUGAGGAGCACAUGUACCGAUAUAAUGCCAGUUUUCCACUUAAAGAGAAUUAACAUCUUUUCGUUUUUUUUUUACCUGCAUACUUGAAUACGUGUGAUGAUACUCGGCACUCGAUAGAUAUCGCCGUGGUGCAAUGUCAGUCAUCAUGGUUUGUGUGGGUCUCAGCCUCCCGUACAUGCGACGGGCAUGCCCGCUACCGCUGCUCGCCCUCGUAGACCAUGGGACCUACGACGCCGUCCUUCCACUCUAGUGUCGAUGCUUUCUCUGCUCUUCUCCACGAGAUGGACACCAAGCUGUAAGGAUUCGCAGUAACGAGG